CUCCUUCCCCUAGCGGUUGAUUGCGAGGAGCAGCGGAAGGAAGGAUGUAUCAAACCGAAAGAAGAAAGAACCCCUGCCAGUCGCCCCCAUGACAUCCGACUCUGAACGGCAGCGAUCUAGAGGCUGUGGCGUGUUGCAGAUUAACAGCAGCGAGGGCAGGAGGCAAAUCAGAUGCCGCAGGAGCUGACUGUUUUCUUUAGCCCUGAGAGCUGACUGUAGGCACAGGUUGCAUAUCAAAGGCAACGGGAAUCAGUCUGUGGCAAUAUUACAUCAGGUCCUGGACUGGUGGUGGUGUUGGUUGCGGGGGUGGGCGGUGGGGUCCAAGUCCUAAAAGAUGUCAGUCAAACACCAGCUGAGCUUCUAGACCUCCUUCUGUGGCCCUUCUUCUGAUCAAGGACCAUUUCAGUAGAGCCUUUUAAGACACAUGUUUUGGAAUACAGUCAAAUGCGUGCUGCUGUAUGACCAGCCUAUUUGAACUACUUAAGCAUCAACUAAUUAAUCUGCAAGUGAAGAAUACUUCCAGCAUUACUCUAUAAUUAGACAAUCUCAGGAGGAAACAAGAGGAUUUCAAAGGGGAGUCAGAUGGUUUCGCAGACCGCUACAUCAUUUAUUUUUUCAUCACUCAGAUUAUGCCUCCAAAUCCUACAGAAGUAUAACAACCAUAGAACAGACAAACACCAACAGCAUCAACAACAGAGAAACUCAGUCCAGGAGGAUAUGAAACCCUUUGUAAUAAAGAAAGCAACAUCCA
Homo sapiens (human) is the source of this 751-nucleotide long non-coding RNA. Ensembl annotates it as regulator of chondrogenesis RNA. Its record names the gene ROCR. NCBI's taxonomy places the organism in Eukaryota, Metazoa, Chordata, Mammalia, Primates, Hominidae. The record is from Ensembl.